AAAGAUUUAGUUUAAAAAAAACAUUAAGUUGUCAACUUAAAAUUAGGUAAUAAUCUUUU
RNAcentral lists this transfer RNA (59 nucleotides) under Thampoa tiani. RNAcentral's name for it is "tRNA-Asp". Lineage: Eukaryota; Metazoa; Arthropoda; Insecta; Hemiptera; Cicadellidae. The record is from RNAcentral.